UGGCUAAACGUAUCAAAUUUUA
Molecule: non-coding RNA, 22 nt
Filed under: Arabidopsis thaliana (thale cress)
Lineage: Eukaryota; Viridiplantae; Streptophyta; Magnoliopsida; Brassicales; Brassicaceae
Source: RNAcentral